RNAcentral lists this ribosomal RNA (383 nucleotides) under uncultured eukaryote. RNAcentral's name for it is "partial 18S ribosomal RNA". It matches the Rfam family "Eukaryotic small subunit ribosomal RNA", at positions 592 to 976 of the family's 1831-position model. The record is from RNAcentral.
CAAUAGCGUAUAUUAAAGUUGUUGCAGUUAAAAAGCUCGCAGUUGGAUUUCUGGUGGGAGCGAUCGGUCUGGCGCUUAGCGCGAGUACUUGCAUCGUCUCCGGCCAUCCUUGGGGAGAGUCUGUCUGGCAUUAGGUUGUCGGGCAGAGGAUCCUCAUCGUUUACUGUGAAAAAAUUAGAGUGUUCAAAGCAGGCUUAUGCCGUUGAAUAUAUUAGCAUGGAAUAAUAAGAUAGGACUUUGGUACUAUUUUGUUGGUUUGCGCACCAAAGUAAUGAUUAAUAGGGACAGUUGGGGGUAUUCGUAUUCCGUUGUCAGAGGUGAAAUUCUUGGAUUUACGGAAGACGAACUACUGCGAAAGCAUUUACCAAGGAUGUUUUCAUUAA